AUGUCCAGCCUUAAGAGGGCUCCAGUUCCCACAUCCAGCCCAAGGAGGGCUCCAGUUCCCACGUCCAGCCCAGUGAGGGCAACUGUUCCCACAUCCUGCCCACGGAGGGCCUCAGAAGCCGAGCUGCCUGCUCUGCCAUGGCCUCCUGAACUGUCUGCUCCACCAUGGCCUCCUAGUCUGCCUGCUCUGCCAUGGUUCCCUGAGCUGCCUGCUCCGCCAUGGCUCCCCGAGCUGCCUUCUCCGCCAUGGGACCCGGAUCCAGUAACGCCUUGGAGGCAUCCCGUCCUGUCCAAGCCUGUCCUGAGGGACCUCCAAGAUUGGUGAAGUUUAUUCUACGUCUCCUCAUCUCCUCGUCCCCUCGCUCCAGUGAAUUGUGAUUCACAAUACUGUGUCAAGACAUCCUACCAUGCUGUCUUCCUUCCCCUCUGCAACCUCAACUGCACCAUGGAUGACACCUGUUAUCAAUUUGGGGAGCAGAUCACCGCUUGUUUGAAGUGCAGCUUCUGCCUUCCUGUUGUGCACUCUGCAAUCCUUUGCAACAUUGUGAGCAUUGUUAUACUCAAUAUUCUUGUCAUUGGCAGAACCAAUUCCUUAGUGGGUAACCGCUCUAUUUUCUGACCCUGGGUGAUUUGCAAACUCACAGAAAAUUAAGGAAGCAACAAUUGUGCAUGUAUGUAAAUAAGUAUAAUUAAGUUGAAUAUUGAAGAAAAUAAAUCUAAACAUGUUCCAAGCAAGGUAAAUUAUUUUUUAUAUAAGUAUUUCUAAUGUUGAGCAAAAAUGGAUGCCCUAAUUAAUUUACAAUGACAAGCAACUGAAAUUUCAGCAUGUUGUGAACACAUAAAGAUUUUUAAGUAGCACUUAACCACAUACUCAAGCACUGGAAGGCUGAAGAAGUAACCUUGCACGUAGUGAGCUCACUUAAAGCCCGGAAGACACCAAGCCGACGAACUAGUGGCAAAGAAAGCAGACUGCGGGGUCGGCUCACGUCGGCACCGUAUGGGUCCAAAGUUGCCCUGACACACCAAACUGAGCACACCAAGUAGCAUGUCCGUUCUGCAUUUUUUCUCGUGCACUGGAUCGCCAUCUGAACAUCCAAUCAGAAUGAUCAGAUGGCCCAACUGACCGAAGAGCUCAGAUGCCGAUUCAACAUAUCGAAUAGGCCGAAAAAAGCAGACCAGGACCAACUUCAGCCGACAGUGCGGAAUACACUGAGAAAAUUUCGUUGGCCGGCAAACAAAAACUUCCCGACGUCCGACUGUCGGCUUGGUGUGUUCCGGGAUUAAGAGAGAUCCAUUGUUAUCAGGAAACGGGGUCCUGGACACUAAAAGAGAAGCUCAUUACACUAGAUAAUCUGGUAUCAUCUCGAUCCUAAUCAGCUUGUUGAUGGUAGAGUUCAGCAAAACACGCUGGAUGAUAAGCUAUGCAAUGAGUUUCCUAUGUUGAGAGAGAGAGAGAGAGAGAGAGAGAGAGAGAGAGAGAGAGAGAGCGAGAGCGAGAGCGAGAGAGCGAGAGAGUAAUCUCACAGUAAAUGAGGACCCUGGCUUUUUUUUUUUUUUUCAUUACUGGUCCUUCAUGCCAUUGCUUGUCAUAGGUGAAUUGUCUUGUCAUCUUAUUAUACUGUUUAUUUGAUUAUUUUAGGAUUUUUUUUCUUAACUAACUAAACUAAAUACUUAUUUACUUUAUAAUAAUAACACAUAAUAAUUUUAUAAUAAUUUAUAUAUAAUCUAGUUUCAAUUUAGUUAAUUUCUUUAUAUUACAUAGGCCUGCUGUUUAUUUUUUUAUACUCUUCAUAUGCUUUCACUUUAGCAAUGGGGUGGAUGUAUACCCCUAAUGUUCAAGUGAAAUUGUCAUUAAUACAAAUGUUGCUUUAUUUUGAAUUAUAAGAAGUUGUCACAUUAAAAUUAAUCUGAAAUGCACAGAGAAAAGAAGAGCCAGAAAAAGAUAGUUAAUUGCUAUAAUCACUCUCCUCCUCCACUUAGUUAUCAUUUUGUUUAAGUCUUUCACGCACACUUUAUUCAGAGCCCAUGAAACUCCUCUGCAACACUGUGCAGAAACAGUAAACAAGUUAACAUAGAAUUAAACUUAAAAAUAGAACAAAACUCUAAAUUAAGCCUUUGGCUAAAUGAAUGAGAGCACAGUCUACUGCAACUCCUCUACUUAAAGGGAUAGUUCAGCCCAAAUUGAAAAUUGUGUCAUCAUUUAUUCAUGUCUUGUCAUUCUAAUCUUGUAUGAUGUUCUCUCUUCUGUGGAACACAAAAGAAGAUUUUUAUUUUUA
Long non-coding RNA from Cyprinus carpio carpio, 2275 nucleotides. The record is from Ensembl. Lineage: Eukaryota; Metazoa; Chordata; Actinopteri; Cypriniformes; Cyprinidae.